GACAGGCGUAGGCGAUGGAUAACAGGUUGAUAUUCCUGUACCACCUAGUAUCGUUUUAAUCGAUGGGGGGACGCAGUAGGAUAGGCGAAGCGUGCUGUUGGAGUGCACGUCCAAGCAGUAAGGCUGAGUGUUAGGCAAAUCCGGCACUCAUAAGGCUGAGCUGUGAUGGGGAGAGGAAAUUGUUUCCUCGAGUCGUUGAUUUCACACUGCCGAGAAAAGCCUCUAGAUAGAUAACAGGUGCCCGUACCGCAAACCGACACAGGUAGUCAAGAUGAGAAUUCUAAGGUGAGCGAGCGAACUCUCGUUAAGGAACUCGGCAAAAUGACCCCGUAACUUCGGGAGAAGGGGUGCUCUUUAGGGUUCACGCCCAGAAGAGCCGCAGUGAAUAGGCCCAAGCGACUGUUUAUCAAAAACACAGGUCUCUGCUAAACCGUAAGGUGAUGUAUAGGGGCUGACGCCUGCCCGGUGCUGGAAGGUUAAGAGGAGUGGUUAGCUUCUGCGAAGCUACGAAUCGAAGCCCCAGUAAACGGCGGCCGUAACUAUAACGGUCCUAAGGUAGCGAAAUUCCUUGUCGGGUAAGUUCCGACCCGCACGAAAGGCGUAACGAUUUGGGCACUGUCUCAACGAGAGACUCGGUGAAAUCAUAGUACCUGUGAAGAUGCAGGUUACCCGCGACAGGACGGAAAGACCCCGUGGAGCUUUACUGUAGCCUGAUAUUGAAAUUCGGCACAGCUUGUACAGGAUAGGUAGGAGCCUUUGAAACGUGAGCGCUAGCUUACGUGGAGGCGUUGGUGGGAUACUACCCUAGCUGUGUUGGCUUUCUAACCCGCACCACUUAUCGUGGUGGGAGACAGUGUCAGGCGGGCAGUUUGACUGGGGCGGUCGCCUCCUAAAAGGUAACGGAGGCGCUCAAAGGUUCCCUCAGAAUGGUUGGAAAUCAUUCAUAGAGUGUAAAGGCAUAAGGGAGCUUGACUGCGAGACCUACAAGUCGAGCAGGGUCGAAAGACGGACUUAGUGAUCCGGUGGUUCCGCAUGGAAGGGCCAUCGCUCAACGGAUAAAAGCUACCCCGGGGAUAACAGGCUUAUCUCCCCCAAGAGUUCACAUCGACGGGGAGGUUUGGCACCUCGAUGUCGGCUCAUCGCAUCCUGGGGCUGUAGUCGGUCCCAAGGGUUGGGCUGUUCGCCCAUUAAAGCGGUACGCGAGCUGGGUUCAGAACGUCGUGAGACAGUUCGGUCCCUAUCCGUCGUGGGCGUAGGAAAUUUGAGAGGAGCUGUCCUUAGUACGAGAGGACCGGGAUGGACAUACCUCUGGUGUACCAGUUGUCGUGCCAACGGCAUAGCUGGGUAGCUAUGUAUGGACGGGAUAAGUGCUGAAAGCAUCUAAGCAUGAAGCCCCCCUCAAGAUGAGAUUUCCCAACUUCGGUUAUAAGAUCCCUCGAAGAUGACGAGGUUAAUAGGUUCGAGGUGGAAGCGUGGUGACACGUGGAGCUGACGAAUACUAAUCGAUCGAAGACUUAAUCAA
This 1522-nucleotide ribosomal RNA is filed under the name Staphylococcus epidermidis. RNAcentral describes it as "partial 23S ribosomal RNA". It matches the Rfam family "Bacterial large subunit ribosomal RNA", at positions 1404 to 2925 of the family's 2925-position model. The record is from RNAcentral. Lineage: Bacteria; Bacillati; Bacillota; Bacilli; Caryophanales; Staphylococcaceae.